GGCCCGGCGGGGCUGCCGGCCGUGCGGGCGCUGUGAGCGCUGUGAGCGCUGUGGGUCUUCCCGCCCGCCCCGGCUCCUGCCGCACUCUUGUGCGAGUCCUUCCCGGAGCUCUCGAGGUGUUGCGCAGACGCCGCCUCUGCAGGGUGGGAAGUGCCUUCGAUUCUGAGGCCAGGGAAGGAGAAACGGCAGUCUGAGAUCUCAAACAGAUUUUUGUUGCUGAAGAAUAUGUUGUUUUAGCAGCACAUAUAUAUAUAAAGAUUUUAAAGGACUUUAAAGAUGCCUAUUUUAGGCAAAUUUUUACUGUUAUUUAAACAAGCAGGGCAUAACCAUGACCAGCAAGGUGAGGAGCAGUUCACACAUCCCCUGGCACAGACCACUCCAGAAAGAGCUGCUUUAGAAUUUGGAAAUUCAACCAGUAUGGACAAAAGGAUCAGUGUUUAUGUCUGUGUUUAGUUUUUGUAUCAGUGGUUCAGAUUUCACUGCAAAUUCUUUGAGAUCUUCAGCACAUGGAAGAUUAGAAUUAGUAAUUUAGUAUCAUAAUGAAGAGUAAUUAAGGCCUUUCCUAAAUACCAGAAGGUGAUCAAGGAAAGCUCACUUCUUUCUUUCCAAGUCUCACUGCUGCUAUCAAGAGUAAAUGAAGCGCAACUCAUGGUUAAUGAAGUUUUUACUGUUCUACUAAAAUAAAAUUUAGUCUCUUAAAAUGCCUCCCUUUUGC
Molecule: long non-coding RNA, 715 nt
Filed under: Chloebia gouldiae (Gouldian finch)
Lineage: Eukaryota; Metazoa; Chordata; Aves; Passeriformes; Passeridae
Description: Erythrura gouldiae (Gouldian finch) lncRNA (ENSEGOG00005002596.1)
Source: RNAcentral